RNAcentral lists this long non-coding RNA (4194 nucleotides) under Capsella grandiflora. RNAcentral describes it as "long non-coding RNA (CGRA_LNC001347)". The record is from RNAcentral. Lineage: Eukaryota; Viridiplantae; Streptophyta; Magnoliopsida; Brassicales; Brassicaceae.
CUAGUUGUAUAUCUGAGGUGUUAUCGUAGUGUUGAAGUUGUUUGAGGUGGUGUUUUGUUCUAGGUGGAGUUCUCUGGACAUUCUCUCUUGCUAGGUUGUGAUCAGAUCUAGCCUUAGAUAGAAUAAAAUGGAACCUACUCAAGGCAAGUUUGAAGUAGAUAAGUUUGAUGGGGAUGGUGAUUUUUCCAUAUGGAAGCAUAGAGUGUUAGCUCAGCUGGAAAUUCUUGGUCUGGAAUCAGUACUAAAGAUUGAUGGGGUUACUGUUUCUGAGAAAGAUCAAGGAAUGCUAGAAUCAGAUCCUAAGUGGUUAGCUAAGGACAGGAGAGUCAGAAAUCUGCUAGGCAUGAGCGUGACUGACAUGGUCUUGAGAAAAGUAAUGAAACAUCGCACUGCACAAGCUAUGUGGGAAGCUUUAGAAGCUCAAUAUCAAGACAAGUCUCUGCCAAACAGAUUCUAUCUCAAGCAAAGAUUCUACAGUUUCAAGAUGGAAGAGGAUAAAAAUCUAGACAAGAAUCUGGAUGUGUUCAACAAGUUGAUUUCAGAUUUAGCAAGUCUAGAUGUGGAAGUAAGUGAUGAAGAUCAAGCUGUUAUUGUUCUUAACAGCUUGCCAUCACAGUUUGCUCAGCUAGUCCACACUCUGAAGUAUAGAGGAGGAAAGGAGACUAUAACCCUCAAGGAGAUUACUCAGUCUGCCUACUCUCUUGAAACAGAACUGAAACAAAAGGGGAACUAUUUGGGUAAAACCAGUGGUGAAGGUCUCUAUGUUCAGCACAAGCCAAAAGCUGAGAAGAAGUCUAAUCCAAAGAAGCAAGCUAGUAAAGGAAAAGAAAAGACUAAGGUUAAAGCUAAGGCAUGUUGGAUAUGUGGAGCUGAGGGACAUUUCAAGAAAGACUGUCCAAAGAAGAACCAAUACAGUAAUGCAGAAGCAAGUGUUGGUCAGGGCAUUGACUCAGAACCUAUGAUGUUGAGUGCUUCAGAAUCACAAACAAGAGAUGGUUGGGUACUUGACUCAGGAUGCUCAUAUCAUUUGACCUACAGAAAGGAUCUCAUGUUUGAUCUGGAAGAGAUAAAUGGGGGAAGGAUCCUUAUGGGAAAUGAUACAUACUGUGAUAUCACCGCUAUAGGGAAAGUGAAGAUUGUUAAUUAUGACAACACCAUUGUCAUAUUAACAAAGGUAAGGUACUCUCCAACAGCUAAAAGGAACCUGAUUUCUUUGGGACAGUUGGAGUCACAAGGCUGCUGGUUUCAGUCUAAGAACUUCAGACUUCAAGUGUUCUAUGAUGGGAAAGAAGCUUUAGCAGGAGAGUACAAAGAUACACUCUAUAUCUUGGAUGGGAAACCAGUUGUUGAGCAAGCAAACUCAGCCACUAGGAAGGAAGAUCAGACAAUGUUAUGGCACAGCAGGUUGGGACAUAUGAGUACAAAGGGUUUACAAUUGUUGGCUAAGAAGGAGUUGAUAAAGUCAGAAAUCUCAGAGUUAACAAAUUGUGAAUAUUGUGUUCUGGGAAAGUUUCACAAGCUGUCUUACAAAACAGGAAAGCAUACUUCUAAGGAACGACUGGAGUAUGUUCACUCUGAUCUUUGGGGGUCUCCAAAUGUUACUCCAAGCCUAUCAAGAUGUCAGUACUAUAUCUCUUUUGUAGACGACUACUCAAGGAAGGUGUGGGUGUAUUUUCUUAAAACUAAGGAUGAAGCUUUCAGCAAGUUUGUUGAGUGGAAAGUUCUGGUUGAGAAUCAGUGUGGAAAGAAACUAAAAACCCUAAGGACUGACAACGGUCUUGAGUACUGCAACAAGGCAUUUGAUGAUCACUGCAAAACUCAUGGUAUUCUCAGACAUAAGACGUGUCCCUACACUCCACAGCAGAAUGGGAUUGCUGAGAGAUUAAACAGGACAAUCUUGGAGAAAGUAAGAAGUUUGCUGCGUGAAACAGGUUUGGGAGAAACAUUUUGGGCUGAAGCUACUUCAACUGUUGUUUAUAUGAUAAACAGGACACCAUCAACUCCUUUGAACUUUGAGGUUCCAGAACAGCUUUGGACAGGUUCAAAACCAGAUUAUGAGCAUAUGAAGAGAUUUGGUUGUUUGGUGUAUUAUCAUGUGGAUCAGGGAAAGCUAAAGCCAAGAGCCAAGAAGGGGAUUUUCAUGGGAUAUCCACAAGGAGUCAAGGGCUACAGAAUUUGGAGUCAAGAAGAAAGGAGAUGCAUCAUCAGCAGAGAUGUUACAUUUUGGGAAGAUACUCUCUACAAAGACAUUGGAAAGGAAACUGGGGAUUCUGAAAGAGUAACUACUUCAAAAGGAAAGGAAAAGGUUGACGUUACACUAUCAGAAGAAACAGGCAGAAAUGUUGAAAUUAGAGAGCAAGGUGAAUCUUCCACUGGAGGUGGAGCUACUUCAGGUAGUAGAGAUGAAGAUGGUUCCAGUCAAGCUCAAGAACCUGGAAAUUCAUCUCCUGAGCUUGGUAACUAUCUUUUAACCAGAGAUAGAGCUAGAAGAACAAUCAAACCACCAAGUAGGUUUGAUGACUGUGAUGUGGCAGCCUAUGCACUUUUUAUGGCUGAUGUUGUAGAGGUUGAAGAGCCAUGGACCUUUAAAGAAGCCAUGGGAGGGAAGAACAAGUCAUUUUGGGAAGGUGCAACAGAUGAGGAGAUGGCCUCACAUGAAAAGAAUCAGACUUGGAAACUAAUAGAGAGACCAGAAGGGCAGAAGGUGAUUGGAUGUAAAUGGGUAUUCAAGUUAAAACCAGGGAUAACAGGGGUUGAAGAGCCAAGGUUUAAGGCGAGAUUGGUAGCAAAGGGAUAUGCACAGGUUGAGGGGAUUGAUUACAAUGAAGUUUUCUCACCUGUGGUAAAGCAUACAACCAUCCGGUUAAUGUUAUCAAUGGUGGUUAAAGAAGAUUUUGAGUUAGAACAGUUGGACGUCAAAACAGCUUUCUUACAUGGAAAUCUCGAGGAAAGGAUACUUAUGGAACAGCCUGAAGGGUACUCUAAAGGGGAGAAUAAAGUCUGUUUACUUCAAAAAUCUCUGUAUGGGCUCAAGCAGUCACCAAGGCAAUGGAACUUGCGGUUUGAUAAGUUUAUGAAGGCACAGAAGUUUUCAAGAAGUGAUUAUGAUUCUUGUGUGUACUUCAAGUGUUAUGAUGAGGGGAAAUAUGUUUAUCUACUUCUCUAUGUAGAUGACAUGUUAGUUGCGGCUAAAGAUCCAACAGAAGUAGAAAGGGUAAAGGAGCUUCUGAGCAGAGAAUUUGAAAUGAAAGAUUUGGGACCAGCAAGAAGAAUUCUAGGGAUGGAUAUUGUCAGAGACAGGGCAAAAGGUACUCUAACACUAUCCCAAGAAACCUAUAUUGAGAAAGUCCUAAGGAAUUUUGGAAUGGCUGAUGCACAGCCAGUUCAAACCCCAAUGGGAUGUCAUUUCAAACUAUCUAGGACUCCAGAAGAAGAUAGAACUGAAACAGAAGUAAAGAUGAGGAACAUACCUUAUGCUUCUGCAGUCGGGAGCCUGAUGUACGCAAUGGUCGGAACGCGUCCUGACAUUGCACACGCUGUUGGUCUGGUUAGCCGCUUCAUGAGCUCACCUAACAUACAACAUUGGGAAGCGGUUAAAUGGAUAUUAAGAUAUCUAAGAGGAAGUUCGAAUUGUCGAUUGACUUUCAAGAAAUCUGACAAGUUCGAAGUAAAGGGAUUUUGUGACAGCGAUUACGCUACUGACAUUGAUCGAAGAAGGUCCAUCACAGGCUACGCUUUCCAAGUGGGUGGCAAUACGGUCAGCUGGAGGUCAGGGCUGCAAUCAAUCGCAUCAUUAUCAUCAACGGAAGCAGAGUAUAUGGCCUUAGCAGAGGCAACAAAAGAAGCUUUGUGGGUUAAGAGGAUUACCAGUGAGCUGGGUUAUCCGCAACGAGCAGCCGAGAUCUUCAGUGACUCGCAAAGUGCGAUCUGCUUAGCCAAGAACAGCGUCUUCCACGAAAGAACAAAACACAUCCAGGUGAAGUAUCACUUCAUUAGAGACGUGAUAGCAGAGGGGGAUGUAAUUGUGACGAAGAUUGAUACAAGCAUCAAUCCAGCAGACUUCCUCACAAAAUCUUUACAGGUGAAGAAGUUUGAGGAUGCAAGAAGUGAUCUGAGAGUACUCAGACACUAAAUCUAGCUCGGAUCGAAAGAGCUAGGGUUCCGGCGGAUGGUCGGAACAAAGGAGAAGGAAAA